RNAcentral lists this ribosomal RNA (806 nucleotides) under fungal endophyte. Its description in RNAcentral is "eukaryotic LSU rRNA". The stretch from base 487 to 806 matches the Rfam family "Eukaryotic large subunit ribosomal RNA", at positions 1 to 326 of the family's 3401-position model. Lineage: Eukaryota; Fungi. The record is from RNAcentral.
GAACGCGCUUCGGCGCACCCAGAAACCCUUUGUGAACUUAUACCUUACUGUUGCCUCGGCGCAGGCCGGCCCCUCCACCGGGGCCCCUCGGAGACGAGGAGCAGCCCGCCGGCGGCCAACCAAACUCUUGUUUCUUAGUGAAUCUCUGAGUAAAAAACAUAAAUGAAUCAAAACUUUCAACAACGGAUCUCUUGGUUCUGGCAUCGAUGAAGAACGCAGCGAAAUGCGAUAAGUAAUGUGAAUUGCAGAAUUCAGUGAAUCAUCGAAUCUUUGAACGCACAUUGCGCCCUCUGGUAUUCCGGAGGGCAUGCCUGUUCGAGCGUCAUUUCAACCCUCAAGCCUGGCUUGGUGUUGGGGCACUGCUUCGAGAGAAGCAGGCCCUGAAAUCUAGUGGCGAGCUCGCCAGGACCCCGAGCGUAGUAGUUAUAUCUCGUUCUGGAAGGCCCUGGCGGUGCCCUGCCGUUAAACCCCCAACUUCUGAAAUUUUGACCUCGGAUCAGGUAGGAAUACCCGCUGAACUUAAGCAUAUCAAUAAGCGGAGGAAAAGAAACCAACAGGGAUUGCCCUAGUAACGGCGAGUGAAGCGGCAACAGCUCAAAUUUGAAAUCUGGCCUCGGCCCGAGUUGUAAUUUGCAGAGGAUGCUUCUGGCGCGGUGCCUUCCGAGUUCCCUGGAACGGGACGCCACAGAGGGUGAGAGCCCCGUAUGGUCGGACACCAAGCCUGUGUGAAGCUCCUUCGACGAGUCGAGUAGUUUGGGAAUGCUGCUCUAAAUGGGAGGUAAAUCUCUUCUAAAGCUAAAUACCGG